CUACGGGUUGCAGCAGUGAGGAAUAUUGCACAAUGGGGGGAACCCUGAUGCAGCAACGCCGCGUGGAGGAUGACGCAUUUCGGUGUGUAAACUCCUUUUAUAUGUCAAGAAAAUGACGGUAGCAUAUGAAUAAGCACCGGCUAACUCCGUGCCAGCAGCCGCGGUAAUACGGAGGGUGCAAGGCGUUACUCGGAAUCACUGGGCGCAAAGGACGCGUAGGCGGGUUGGAAAGUCAGGUGUGAAAUCCUACAGCUUAACUGUAGAACUGCACUUGAAACUUCUAAUCUAGAGUAUGGGAGGGGGAGAUGGAAUUAGUGGUGUAGGGGUAAAAUCCGUAGAUAUCACUAGGAAUACCUAAAGCGAAGGCGAUCUCCUGGAACAUUACUGACGCUAAGGCGUGAAAGCGUGGGGAGCAAACAGGAUUAGAUACCCGGGUAGUC
RNAcentral lists this ribosomal RNA (440 nucleotides) under uncultured bacterium. RNAcentral describes it as "partial 16S ribosomal RNA". It matches the Rfam family "Bacterial small subunit ribosomal RNA", at positions 339 to 795 of the family's 1533-position model. The record is from RNAcentral.